UAGGGAAUCUUCGGCAAUGGGGGGAACCCUGACCGAGCAACGCCGCGUGAGUGAAGAAGGUUUUCGGAUCGUAAAGCUCUGUUGUUAAGGAAGAACGAGUGUGAGAAUGGAAAGUUCAUGCUGUGACGGUACUUAACCAGAAAGGGACGGCUAACUACGUGCCAGCAGCCGCGGUAAUACGUAGGUCCCGAGCGUUGUCCGGAUUUAUUGGGCGUAAAGCGAGCGCAGGCGGUUAGAAAAGUCUGAAGUGAAAGGCAGUGGCUCAACCAUUGUAGGCUUUGGAAACUGUUUAACUUGAGUGCAGAAGGUGGGAGGGGAAUUCCAUGUGUAGCGGGGAAAUGCGUAGAUAUAUGGAGGAACACCGGUGGCGAAAGCGGCUCGCUGGUCUAUAACUGACGCUGAGGCUCGAAAGCGUGGGGAGCGAACAGG
This 429-nucleotide ribosomal RNA is filed under the name Bacteroidota bacterium. RNAcentral describes it as "Bacteroidetes bacterium partial 16S ribosomal RNA". It matches the Rfam family "Bacterial small subunit ribosomal RNA", at positions 355 to 776 of the family's 1533-position model. The record is from RNAcentral. Lineage: Bacteria; Pseudomonadati; Bacteroidota.